CACAUCCCUGCCAGCCGCGGCAGAGAGGACGACCCCCCCAGGGGAGCGGGAAGAGACUGCUGAGAUUGUAACAUCUAGCCCUUACCCCGCUUCCUUCCAGGGUCUGGAGGUCGGGGGUCGUAUGCACCCCAGUCUCUGCGCACCCCCGCGUACCUCCCCGCCCCGGGUUCAGCCCUCUUGGAAGGUCCAGUACGCCCUGGAACUCGAACUCGGAACCACUGAGCGGCCUGCCCUGCUCCCCUUCUUCCUGACAGCCCCUCCAAGUCCUCCGAAGUAAGGCGAGAAGAAGAUGUGGUGUAUAUUCCAGAUGACAUCUUCAAAAAGGGACAGGGGACCGAAUGAGCAGAGACCAAGUCUGCUGAAGGAAGAACUUCACUCAUCAUCAGAGAAUUAAAAGCACAUGAAUAGUCUAUAUGAGAAAUGCCCCCAUCAACAAAACAGGAAAUGGUAAGUGCUGGUGGGGAUUCGAAGAAAGAGGAACUCUGCUACCCUGUUGGUGGGAAUGCAAGCUGGGGCAGCCCCUGUGGAAAACAGUCUGGAGAGUCCUUAAAUACUUUAUGAUCCAGCAAUACCACCCUUGGACAUUCAUCCAGAAGACAUGAAAAUACUGACACGAAGGGACACAUGCACCCCUGUGUUCAUAGCUGCACUAUUCACAGUAGCCAAGCAGUGGAAGCAACCUGAAUGUCCAUCCACAGAUAACUGGCCAGAGAAAUUAUGGGACAUGGACUCAGUGGAAUUAAUACUCCUGUGCAAUUCAGAGAGAUGACAUUGUGUCCUCCAGGGCCAAAUGGAUGGGAACUGGAGGUGACUGUGCUAAGUUUUCACUCAUAUAUGUAGUAAAGAACUAAAACACAUGCAUUUGGGAAAAAAAAUGGGGCCAGAUGGUGGCGCACCUGGUUAAGCACACACAUUACAGUGUGCAAGGACCUGGGUUCAAGCCCCUGGUCCCCACCUUCAGGGGGAAAGCUUCACGAGUGCUAAAGCAGGGCUGCAAGUAUCUCUCUGUCUCUCUCCAUCUCUCUCUUCCCCUCCCCUUGAUUUCUCUCUGUCUCUAUCCAAUAAUAAAUAAAACACUAAGAAAUAUGUAGUGAACCAGUCUCUUAAGACCUUGGGAGAACUAUGGUGUUUAUCCUUAGGGGCAUUGUGGUAGGGGCACAGAACUUUGGUGGUGGAAGUGGUGUGGACCUCUUAUUAUUUUAUAAUUCUCCAAAUUACUAUUAAAUCACUAAUAAAAAGUAAGUUUAAGAAAAUGAGGAGAAACAGAAGAAUGAAUAUGGGAUGAUCUCACUCUCAGGCAGAAGUUGAAAAACAAGACCAGAAAAGAAAACACAAGUAGAACCUGAAAUGGAAUUGGCGUAUUGCACCAAAGUAAAAGACUUUGGGGUGGGUGGGUGGGGAGAAUACAGGUCCAUGAAGGAUGAUAAAUGACAUAGUGGGGGCUGUAUUGUUAAAUGGGAAACUGGGGAAUGUUAUGCAUGUACAAACUAUUGUACUUACUGUUGAAUGUAAAACAUUAAUUCCCCAAUAAAGAAAUAAAUUUAAAAAAAAAAAGAAAAGAAAAUAAGGAAUCCAGGGCCAGGUGAUGGCGAACCUGCUUAAGUGCUCACACUACAGUGUGUAAGGACACAGGUUCAAGUCCCUGGUCCCCACCUACAGGGAGAAAGCUUCACAAGUGGUGAAGCAGGGCUGUAGGUGUCUCUCUGUCUCUUUCUUCCUCUCUAUCUCCUCACCCCCUCUCAAUUUCUCUCUGUCUCUAUCUGAUAAUAAACAAAUAAAGUUUUCAAAAGGGAAUUCCAGAAGAGACUGUGAAAGGGGUGACAUUUGAGAAGGGCCAGGCAGAGGAGUGUGGGGGUUCAUCAGGAGGAGCUGGGGAUGAAUGUACCGUGGUAGACAGAGCAUGUGCGGGGCAGUGGGCCAGCUGACACCCUUGAGCACGGGCCACAUGGCUGAGUCACCUACACUCUCACACCUGAACACCUGACAGUCACUCUGAGCUUCACGCAGAAUAUCUGAAACCCGUGAAGCCAGCUGCUCCUUCUCAAAGGAAAACACCUCGCUGUGGCAGCGGCCCAGCAGGGGAACACAGGACUUGCAAGCCUGAGGCCCUGAGUUUGUUUCUCAGCACCACACAUGUCAAAAUGAUGCUCUGUUCUCUCCCUGGUGAACAAAUAAAUAAAUGAAUCUUUAAA
Long non-coding RNA from Erinaceus europaeus (western European hedgehog), 2192 nucleotides. RefSeq lists it as uncharacterized. The record is from RefSeq and is a predicted model, not a curated record. NCBI's taxonomy places the organism in Eukaryota, Metazoa, Chordata, Mammalia, Eulipotyphla, Erinaceidae. The transcript is spliced from 2 exons.